UACUAGGAAGUAAUAUGACCUUAGAGUUUCUGGAGGGAAUUAAAGUGAAGUGUUGAAUCACAUUUGGAGAUGACUAGAUAAAAUCCUGAGUCCUAAAUAACUAACUAGGCCCUCCCCAACCAGCUCCCAUUACAUUUUCACUUAACACCGUGUGCACGCAGCCUGCGCACUACUCUCUCUGAUGCACUGAGAAGAAACCUAGAGAAGCUUAUUUAUUUUAUUAGUAGAGUCUUACAAGGUAGUCAUGAUAAUGAAGAGAGAUGCUAAUCUUUUAUCAAAUGGGGCAAAUAAAAAAUCUUUCUACAAAUGAAAAUAAUCACUAAAAAACUUCAAGUGAGAAUCUACCCUUCA
This is a long non-coding RNA of Phyllostomus discolor (pale spear-nosed bat), 351 nucleotides long. RefSeq lists it as uncharacterized. Lineage: Eukaryota; Metazoa; Chordata; Mammalia; Chiroptera; Phyllostomidae. The transcript has 3 exons. The record is from RefSeq and is a predicted model, not a curated record.